Long non-coding RNA from Anolis sagrei ordinatus, 414 nucleotides. RefSeq lists it as uncharacterized. Lineage: Eukaryota; Metazoa; Chordata; Lepidosauria; Squamata; Anolidae. The record is from RefSeq and is a predicted model, not a curated record.
UGGCGCGCUUCCCCUUUUGCAGCAGGCCAAGAUGGCUCCACUUGGUUUGUAGCAAGGAAGUGGCUGGCCUUUUUGCAACUAUCUAUCGCCUAUCUAUCUAACUAUCGCUUGCAAAGGCCCGAAGAAGAUGAAUCUUUCCAAAAGGAAGCGCCGACUUGGAUUUGGGAAAACCCGACCCGAGAAGAAGUCAUUUGGGAAGAGAAAACAAUGUUAAGAAAGCUGUGAAGUUGGGACGAAGAGCCUUGCAACAAUGAAGUUCUCACGUGUUCUGACAACAUGUCAAUUUUGAUACUUUAGUAGAGGUGUAGCUUUUCUAAACCAUAGAAAAUACACACACCUCCACAUUUUAAAAGACCUAACAAGUUAAGUGACAUGCUCAGUAUAGCUAAAUAAAUAAAUGCUGCCACCUCUAAA